Molecule: long non-coding RNA, 439 nt
Organism: Magnolia sinica
Lineage: Eukaryota; Viridiplantae; Streptophyta; Magnoliopsida; Magnoliales; Magnoliaceae
Exons: 3
Source: RefSeq, a predicted model, not a curated record
AGUGCCGAAGAUUUUGACUGUUCUAUUAUUGUUGUUGCUGUUGCUACUAUCAAAUGCCUUGGAUUUGGGCUUUGGUCAUUAUGUGAAGGGUUCAUGGACGAAGGGUGUAUCCUAAGGAAGAGAAGAUGCCACAAGGGUCUUGAUUUGUAUUAAGGAAAGUCCCUGAAGCUGCUCUCUGUUAUGGCUACAAUCCAUUUAGAUGACAAGGAUGAUAAAAUUGAGACUACUCUCUCACUUGCUCUAGCAAAGUUGGAAAAUGGCAAUGUUACUGACAGGAGCAUCAUUUCAUCUGACCCACUAGCUUCAAGCACUUAGGAAGACGUGACAUUUAUAGCUUCUGAAACUCUUUCUUGAUGUCUUUAGCCCAUGAACUUUCUUGUUGAUCAUAAAGACUUGGUAUGAAGAAGGAUAUUUUACAAUAAGGAAUGAAAAACAACAA